UACAGGGGGGGCAAGCGUUGUUCGGAAUUACUGGGCGUAAAGGGUUCGUAGGUGGCCACUUAAGUCAGACGUGAAAUCCCUCAGCUUAACUGGGGAACUGCGUUUGAUACUGAGUGGCUUGAGUGCAGGAGAGGGAUGCGGAAUUCCAGGUGUAGCGGUGAAAUGCGUAGAUAUCAGGAGGAACACCAGUGGCGAAGGCGGCUUUCUGGACGGUAACUGACGCUGAGACGCGAAAGCGUGGGGAGCAAACAGG
Molecule: ribosomal RNA, 253 nt
Filed under: uncultured bacterium
Lineage: Bacteria
Description: partial 16S ribosomal RNA
Rfam family: Bacterial small subunit ribosomal RNA
Source: RNAcentral